CGUAAUGAUGAGCGUAAUUUGCGAUUGAUACCGCACAGUUGGCGCCCUUUCGCCGGGGUUGCUACAUCUGGCGGACAUAUGAUAGUCAUUCUUACAUAUUCUGAAC
Molecule: small nucleolar RNA, 106 nt
Filed under: Madurella mycetomatis
Lineage: Eukaryota; Fungi; Ascomycota; Sordariomycetes; Sordariales
Description: A. fumigatus snoRNA Afu_514
Rfam family: A. fumigatus snoRNA Afu_514
Source: Rfam by way of RNAcentral